UGGUGGAGUGAUUUGUCUGGUUAAUUCCGUUAACGAACGAGACCUCGAUCUGCUAAAUAGAUACACGGAUUCUUUGGAUCUGCUGUACGCUUCUUAGAGAGACUAUCGGUUAGUAGCCGAAGGAGGUUCGAGGCAAUAACA
Molecule: ribosomal RNA, 141 nt
Filed under: uncultured eukaryote
Lineage: Eukaryota
Description: partial 18S ribosomal RNA
Rfam family: Eukaryotic small subunit ribosomal RNA
Source: RNAcentral